RNAcentral lists this non-coding RNA (104 nucleotides) under Cellulosimicrobium sp. CUA-896. RNAcentral's name for it is "Bacterial small subunit ribosomal RNA". It matches the Rfam family "Bacterial small subunit ribosomal RNA", at positions 1 to 103 of the family's 1533-position model. Lineage: Bacteria; Bacillati; Actinomycetota; Actinomycetes; Micrococcales; Promicromonosporaceae. The record is from Rfam by way of RNAcentral.
UUUACGGAGAGUUUGAUCCUGGCUCAGGACGAACGCUGGCGGCGUGCUUAACACAUGCAAGUCGAACGAUGAAGCCCAGCUUGCUGGGUGGAUUAGUGGCGAAC